GAGUUUGAUCCUGGCUCAGAACGAACGCUGGCGGCGUGCUUAACACAUGCAAGUCGAAMGUGAUUGAGAGCUUGCUCUCAUGAAAGUGGCGCACGGGUGAGUAACACGUGGAUAAUCUGCCUGGCGAUUCGGGAUAACACUUCGAAAGGGGUGCUAAUACCGGAUAAGCCCACGGUCUCUUCGGAGAGCGCGGGAAAAGGGGGCCUCUGUAUAUGCUCCUGUCGCUAGAUGAGUCCGCGGCCCAUUAGCUAGUUGGUGGGGUAAUGGCCUACCAAGGCGACGAUGGUUAGCUGGUCUGAGAGGAUGAUCAGCCACACUGGAACUGAGACACGGUCCAGACUCCUACGGGAGGCAGCAGUGGGGAAUUUUGCGCAAUGGGGGAAACCCUGACGCAGCAACGCCGCGUGAGUGAUGAAGGCUUUCGGGUCGUAAAGCUCUGUCAGUGGGGAAGAAAUGGAACGCGCUAAUAUCGCGUUUCCUUGACGGUACCCACAAAGGAAGCACCGGCUAACUCCGUGCCAGCAGCCGCGGUAAUACC
RNAcentral lists this ribosomal RNA (538 nucleotides) under uncultured Geobacter sp. RNAcentral's name for it is "bacterial SSU rRNA". It matches the Rfam family "Bacterial small subunit ribosomal RNA", at positions 9 to 527 of the family's 1533-position model. The record is from RNAcentral. RNAcentral also lists the same sequence under 1 other name. Lineage: Bacteria; Pseudomonadati; Thermodesulfobacteriota; Desulfuromonadia; Geobacterales; Geobacteraceae.